ACGUUAGCGGCGGACGGGUGAGUAACACGUGGGUAACCUACCUAUAAGACUUGGAUAACUUCGGGAAACCGGAGCUAAUACCGGAUAAUAUUUCGAACCGCAUGGUUCGAUAGUGAAAGAUGGUUUUGCUAUCACUUAUAGAUGGACCUGCGCCGUAUUAGCUAGUUGGUAAGGUAACGGCUUACCAAGGCGACGAUACGUAGCCGACCUGAGAGGGUGAUCGGCCACACUGGAACUGAGACACGGUCCAGACUCCUACGGGAGGCAGCAGUU
Molecule: ribosomal RNA, 273 nt
Filed under: uncultured Staphylococcus sp.
Lineage: Bacteria; Bacillati; Bacillota; Bacilli; Caryophanales; Staphylococcaceae
Description: partial 16S ribosomal RNA
Rfam family: Bacterial small subunit ribosomal RNA
Source: RNAcentral